UCAUGCUGACUGGAGUUGAGCACAGGGCAGUGACAAAGUGAAAGGUAAGUACUUUUGACUGAAUGUUUGUUCUAUGCAUGUUUUGUUUUAAUUCAUUUCAGGAGUGCUUAUCCAGUGAUGAUAUGACAGUUGGAGUGAACAGUGGAGCCAAGCAGUCUUGUUUUUGGAGCUACUCAACAAGCCUUGAAGGUAAGUUUAGAAUUUCUCAAUGUUAGUGAAUUGAAGUACUGUCACUUGCUUUUGGACAGUCGAACAGAACAGACGUGGUUGCGAGAGCUCUCAUAUCUGUUGUGUUAAACUGUUUUUAUGAUAUGUUAUGUUUGUUUGUUUGUUUGUGAUGUACUAUUUUUCAGAUGCUGAUGGCAGUGAUGGGUUUUCAAGCUGACCUGAACAGAAAAGCACUCAUAUGGUAAGUACAAAAUAGUUGUUAUAUGGGAUGUUUUGUGCAUGCUUUUAUGUUUCAGGUGUACUUGCAGUUAGAGACGAAGACGAUUCAAGAAGAGGACCAUAGGUCAGAAAGUGGAUGGAACAUACAAAGGGUAAGUUGAACCUGUGUUUUUGUUUGAUUUUUACCAUGCAUACUUUGCUUUGCUCUGUUUCAGAUUUCACAUGCAGAAAUUAAACAGGAUUUCAACUGCUGAGACACAAUUCAUCAAAAGUAAGGUAAGUUUUAAUUCAUUGAUUUGAGUUGUACAAUGUGUUCUUUACUUUAUUUCAGAUUCGAGUCACUGGUUUACACAUGGAAGAAGAUUUCCACGUCUGUUACUCAACUCUACAGAAGCAAGAUGUUUUGUUUCAGUUGAUGUCCAGAUGGCAAGCAGUACAGACGUGUUGCUUGGAGCUGCCAAACAGGAGCUGUGGUAAGUAUUGUAGUAUUAAUUUGUCUCAAUAAACGAUGAUGAAUGAAAACUGAUGUCGAUUCUUUUUGUACAGUUUUAGGUAUUAGCACUCUAUACAAAACUCUGUCGGUCGGUGUUUGUGAAUGUGAGCUUAAUGUUUGAGUAGAACAAAAAUGUCUUUACUUUUGUGAUCGCCAGUUGUCUGUGAUGUAAAGUGGAAAAAACACAGCUAUGAAGCAUACAAUUGUUUCGAAAUUUUAUCAAUGAUUGUAUACUAUGCAUGUUUUGAUUUAGUUCGUUUCAGAUAUGACAUGACAUGAAGAGUUGACAGUCGAACAGAGCUGAGCAAUGCAGAAAGGUAAGUGUGUUUCAUUUUAGUAUGAACACUUGUAUUUUGUUUUUAUAUGGUAUGUUUUGUGCAUGCUAUGUUUCAGGUGUACUUGUAGUCAGCGACGAAGACGAUUCAAGAAGAGGAACAUUGCUGAGAAAGUGAAUGGGACUUGCAAACAGGGUAAGUGUUACAAUUGUUCUUUUGAUUUUUGCCAUGCAUACUUUGCUUUGCUCUGUUUCAGAUUUCACAUGCAGAAAUGGUCUCAUAGCAGUGCCAACAGUGAAUAAGGAUUUCAGCUGCUGUGAAACAACUCAACAGAAAGUAGGUAAGCAUUGAAUGAAUGCACUUGAGUUGUACAAUUUGAUGUGAUGCUUUUCUCUGUUUCAGAUUCAAGUUCCUGGUGUAGACAGAGAAAUGUGUUUGAAGAAGGAAUUCUACUACUGUGAUUCAACUCUACAGAAGCAAGGUAAGUAGAAACACAAUUUUGGUUUAAUUUAACUCAUGUGUUUUGCACUGCAUGCUAUUUUUCAGGUCUCUCAUGCAGUAAUGCAAAAGAAGAAGAUUUCAAGAAAGAAUCACUGCUGCAACUCAGGCCUAUAACAAGGUAAGUGUUUACUAUAUUGUAUACAAAAUGUUUCUCUGUUUUACUCUGUUUGAAGGUUUCAAUUGCAGAGAUGUUGCAGAGAUGUUUUGACAGCUUGUGACAGAAAAGAAAUUCAGCAGCUGUGUAUCGACUGUAGCCACGAGGUAAGUCGAAACAAAUAUACUGGUUUGUAUGUUAUGUUGUUAUGCCCUUCUAUGUUUCAGACUUACAUUGCUGUGACUGUUCCACAGUGGGUCAAAAAAGAGACGAAUACAGGUUUCAAGAAGAAAAUUGGCUGUUGAAAACCUGCACAAAAUAUGAGGUAAGUAAACUAUUCUUUUGUUUUGUUUUGUGCUUUGUUAUGCUUAACUAUUUUUCAGAUUGGAGUGGUGGGUCGUUACAGAGCAGACUUUUGGACAACUGAGAAGUUAAACAACAGAAAAUGAUUCAAGAUCAGCUAGGUAAGUCUGGAUUAUUAUGCAUUGCUAAAUGUUUUUUUUAUUCCAGUAUGGUUGUGGUAAGUACACUAACUUUCUAUAAUUUCAUAUUGAACUGUUUUGAUGACUUGUAUUCUGCAUUGUAAAAUGUCUGUUUUUCAUUUCAGUAUCCUGUGGUAAGUACACUAACUUUCUAUAAUUUCAUAUUGAAAUGUUUUGAUGACUUGUAUACUACUAUGCAAUGCUUAAUGUUUUUUUUCAUUUCAGUAGCCUGUUGGUAAGUACACUAACUUUCUAUAAUUUCAUAGUGAACUGUUUUGAUGACUUGUAUUCUACUAUGCAAUGCUUAAUGUAUUUUUUCAGUAGCCUGUUGGUAAGUACAAUUGCCUUCUUUAAUUUUCAUAUUGAACUGUUUUGAUGAUGUGUAUACUGCUAUGCAAUGCUUAAUGUUUUUUUCAUUUCAGUAUAGCUGUGGUAAGUACACAUACUUUCUAUAAUUUCAUAUUGAACUGUUUUGAUGACUUGUAUACUGCUAUGCAAAAUGUCUGUUUUUCAUUUCAGUAGCCUGUGGUAAGUAUACUAACUUUCUAUAAUUUCAUAUUGAACUGUUUCGAUGAUUUGUAUACUGCUAUGCAUUGCUAAAUGUUUUUUUCAUUUCAGUAUAGCUGUGGUAAGUACACUAACUUUCUUUAAUUUUCAUAUUGAACUGUUUUGAUGACUUGUAUUCUGCUAUACAAAAUGUGCUUUUUUCAAUUUCAGGUCAGCAAUGGUAAGUAGAUUGUGUUUCUUUAUGUAAAAUUUUGUAUACAUAUUGUUUUUUUCAUCAUAGCAUGUCUUUUAUAUUUAUGCUUUGUGUAAGUAAAAUGUUCAUAAAUCAUUCUUAUCUUCAAACUAAAAAUGUAUUGUGCUAUGCAAAAUGUCUGUAUGUUUUCAGUUGCCAGAGGUGAGUACCAUUACAGUUGAAAAGUUAGUUUUGUUUAGUUAAAGUUUUGGUUCACAGUUUUGUUUGUUAUUUGGCAAAAUUUACAUGUAUGCAUUGAGUCUUGAUUUCAGCUCGAUUGUGGACUGAAGAAGAUUGCCAGCAGAGGGAUUGGAUACAAAAUACAAAGUAAGUACUGAGUUUCUUACUAAAAGUUUUGAGUUGUAUUCAUUGUGUGUUAAUAUGCUAUGAUUGCUAUGAACAUGACUUUUGUAUUUCAGCGAAGACAACAUAGGUAAGUAAAAUUGUUAUCUGUUUCAUGUUUACUGUUACAGUUCAAUAUUGUGUUUAUAAAUUUUAAGUUGUACAAACACAUUCAAAAGUUUCUAAUCAUGCUUUCGAUUUCAUUUCAGCUUUACUGCUGGACGAGUGUUCUCUACUACUAGACGUGUCAGGUUUACUACCAGGCGAGCAGUGACAACGAGGCGCCUUUGUGGAAACAACACAACAAAAAACUGUACUGCUAGACGAGCAGUGACAGAAAGGCGCCUGAACAUGCAACACAAAACAAAAAAUGCCAAUUUGCAAACCUUGAUGUGGACACCGAGUAGUCAAUACAUACGUGUGGCGUAUAGCUACGACAAAACCGUGGGUCCAUCGCACCGAUAACUUGAACAUUGGCCCGUGUAUGGACAUCAGUGCAACUUUGUGAAUCCAUGUAACUUUGUGAAUCCAUGUAACAUUGCGAAUGUGUGUCGAUCGAAAAAUGUGUACAUUCUGCACUGAAACGAACUCGGUGUUGCAAGUGGCAAGUGUUGACAGUGUGUAUGUUUAUGUUUAUGUUUUUACAUGAAAAAUAAAGGAGAUUGUUCUCCUACCUUUUUUUUCCUUGUUUUAUUGUGCUGGCCAGCAAUAUUGAUGUAUUGAUGUAUGUGUUUGUGUUUAAACUAUGCAAUACCAAAAUCAAACAAAAAAUAAACAUUAACAGUCAUUAACUGUGUUUGGGCGGCCGAGGGGUUUAAGACUCCACAAGUGUGAAGCGCACUGAUAGCACUUGGGGGUAAACACCUCGGUAUUUCGGUGCUAAAAUGUUUUCACGGUGCUUAUUUUGACGCACUGUUAGAACUACCAACCAGUAAAUGAUUGCUUGAUUUAUAAAACAAAUAUUCAGUCUCUACUUUGGCACAAGAGACUCUAAGUAUCAAAUACCAACAAUUUAAGCGCAGACAAUCACAUGGUGGUACACCAGUCCGAAUAUACUCAUUGCUCUAGCCAGGAUUGCAAAUUACUUGUGUUGACUAGCAAGGCUCCCUAGUAACGGAGCAGUGUUACUGGCGUUUUUUGGGUCGAUAGUGCUUAGGUGAGGUUUUGCUCGAAUCGGGAGCGGGUCACUCGCUUGGGCGAGUUAGUUUUCGCUCGUAGUUUCCAAUCUGGCUAGAUCACUGUAAGGUUGUUUUGACUGCUAUUUGGCAAGCAGAAAGACAACAGCGGUUAAUUGACUGAGUAUGGGCGACCGAGGUAUGUAGGUGUCAAUAGACCGACUCCACAAGUUGCGAAGCGAACCGAUAGCACUUGAGGGGAAACGCCUCGGUUUUCGGUUCUAACAUGUGUUAUCCAUGCUGUCGUUAUACUCUGGCAAGGCUCCUCAAUCUAUCGCGAGGGACACUCAUUAUUGCCCGCAAGCUUUAGAACCUGACGUGGGUCGAUGCGUAUGCGAGUCCGAGGACGCGAUGGCAUUUGAUAAGGCUACCAACCGGUUGAUAACACGCAUUGUUCAAAUUGUUAGGUUUAAGUCUGCUAGGGCUGGGGUGGGAA
Dreissena polymorpha is the source of this 4924-nucleotide long non-coding RNA. RefSeq lists it as uncharacterized. The transcript has 5 exons. NCBI's taxonomy places the organism in Eukaryota, Metazoa, Mollusca, Bivalvia, Myida, Dreissenidae. The record is from RefSeq and is a predicted model, not a curated record.